Molecule: long non-coding RNA, 1825 nt
Organism: Bos taurus (domestic cattle)
Lineage: Eukaryota; Metazoa; Chordata; Mammalia; Artiodactyla; Bovidae
Source: Ensembl
AGAGAGGCGGGGUGACGCACGGGGCGCGUAUACCUGCCGGGCGCCGCUGCGGUGUCGCAGGGAGAGCUGAGCGGAGAGGCGAGAUGGGUGGCUGUCGCCGCUCCUGCUUCUCCUCGCCGCCUCUUCGGCCGCCCUUCUGGCCACCGGCGCCCAUUCUUCCUGACCCGGGCCUCUGGCCCAUACCGUGUACUCCACGUUCAUGUUCGAGGCCACUUUGGCUCCGCUAGGUGGGCUUGCGAGUCCGCGCACCCGCACGCGGCGCCUGGCGCACCCGCUUCGGCGGACGGAGCUGGCCCGACUCCUCGCCUUGGUGUUCCCCUCCCGCAGCAGGAGAUCGGGGGCGCCGAGAACCGGAACGCAGGGGACCCUCAGGCCUCCGGGGCCGCACACCGGCUCCGCACACGCCAGCGUAGCGCCCCCGAAACGCGCCUGGCCUCCAGCUCAGCGCUGAGCAGAGGGCGGCCUCGAACCCGGACUUGGACACUUGUAAACCUUGGAGCAGCAUCGCACGUCGUGUUCCACGAACGACUGUUGCUGACUCAUAGGGAGAUUUCCCGGGAUUCCUGCCCAGGGCCAGCAAACCUCUCAGUGGGCUCCCCGCAGAGUCCAGGGCAGCCACAGACCAGGGGUCACAGGCUCUUGUGUGGUCACCCACCUAGGCACCUUAAAACCAAGGUCCCCUUGGACUCCAGGCCCGGCAAAGCCCAUCCCCCUGCACACCGCCUCUCUUUCGCGGACCGCCUGUCCUCCAUCCGCUAUCAGACGCUAUCGGAAGCUGAGAGACCAACGCCGCUGCGGUGUCGCAGGGAGAGCCGAGCGGAGAGGCGAGAUCGCGGGCUAUUGCCGCUCCUGCUUCUCCUCGCCGCCUCUUCGGCCGCCCUUCUGGCCACCGGCGCCCAUUCUUCCUGACCCGGGCCUCUGGCCCAUACCGUGUACUCCACGUUCAUGUUCGAGGCCACUUUGGCUCCGCUAGGUGGGCUUGCGAGUCCGCGCACCCGCACGCGGCGCCUGGCGCACCCGCUUCGGCGGACGGAGCUGGCCCGACUCCUCGCCUUGGUGUUCCCCUCCCGCAGCAGGAGAUCGGGGGCGCCGAGAACCGGAACGCAGGGGACCCUCAGGCCUCCGGGGCCCCACACCGGCUCCGCACACGCCAGCGUAGCGCCCCCGAAACGCGCCUGGCCUCCAGCUCAGCGCUGAGCAGAGGGCGGCCUCGAACCCGGACUUGGACACUUGUAAACCUUGGAGCAGCAUCGCACGUCGUGUUCCACGAACGACUGUUGCUGACUCAUAGGGAGAUUUCCCGGGAUUCCUGCCCAGGGCCAGCAAACCUCUCAGUGGGCUCCCCGCAGAGUCCAGGGCAGCCACAGACCAGGGGUCACAGGCUCUUGUGUGGUCACCCACCUAGGGACCUUAAAACCAAAGUCCCCUUGGACUCCAGCCCCUUGGAGCUGGCCCGACUCCUCGCCUUGGUGUAUUCCUGUAUCUUUAAGAAUUUUCCACAAUUUGUAGUGAUUCACACAGUCAAAGGCUUUGGCGUAGUCUAUAAAGCAGAAGUAGAUGUUUUUCUGUAACUCUCUUGCUUUUUCUAUGAUCCAACUGAUGUCAGCAAUUUGAUCUCUGGUUCCUCUGCCAUUUGUAAAUCCAACUUGAACAUCUGAAAGUUCUCGGUUCGUGUACUAUUGAAGCCUGGCUUGGAGAAUUUUGAGUAUUACUUUGCCAGUGUGUGCUGCUGCUGCUAAGUCACUUCAGUCGUGUCCGACUCUGUGUGACCCCAUAGACAGCAGCCACCAGGCUCCCCUGUCCCUGGGAUUCUCCAGGCAAGAAC